Rhagoletis zephyria (snowberry fruit fly) is the source of this 941-nucleotide RNA transcript. RefSeq lists it as uncharacterized. The record is from RefSeq and is a predicted model, not a curated record. NCBI's taxonomy places the organism in Eukaryota, Metazoa, Arthropoda, Insecta, Diptera, Tephritidae.
UCGUUUGCGGACUAGAAAAAUGGCGAACAGCCAUCAAAAUACUGAUUCAAAAUACACAUCUUUCACUGGACAAACAAAUGGGUGCGCGCAGCAAAAUUCAGCCCUAAUGGCGAAUGUAUGCGAACGUUCACCGGGGGAAGAGGUAUGGGACGACAGCUGGCAUGGCAUCCAGACGGCAAUCUGGUGGCUUUAGCAUUAAGUUGUAACCGCGUUAAGAUAUUUGACAAAGCUGAAGGCGAGCUAAUACAGUGCAUUCGUCGCCGGAGAAUGAUGUUGCAUUUCACCCAAGUGGAAAUUUCUUGGUGACUGGCGGCGAUGACGAUACAAUAAGAUUGCUUGAUUUAUUAGAAGGUCGACCAAUUUAUACACGUUGCUCGUUUGGAAAUCUAAUUUGCAUACAUUUGAUGCCAAUAGCUCGCAACAAACAAGCCAGUUCUCAAAGAGCCCAAAUUGAUUUUAGUCAUGCAACAGCUCCACAUAACUCCGCCAUAGACACACCAGUUGCUGGAGUACCAAAAAGCUGUGAUGACAGUAUUUUAAUUGAUCCACGACAAUCGGUGGCAUAUGGAAUGCGUGAUGGAAAUUUUCUGUUACAUUAAGAAGCUCAUAGAGGACAGAGCUGUUGGUGAGGAAGGUGUCGAGUUACUGCAGUACUGCAACUGGGAAAAUCCGCAUUUCGCACGUGCCCCACUCGUAUGGAAUAGUAGCUUAUGUCAAAAGGCUGGUUUUAGUAUAAUGCGGCAUUCGCAGCAUACCCUCACUGGCGCCGAGCCGUUGAAGAAAUUUUGGCAAAUAAACGUGCAAGAAAUAGUUCCGAUACUAGCACGUCCAUAUUCUUGUUAAGGGUCAUCAAAAAAUUCCUUGUGUUGUAAAUAAUAAAGGGAAUGCCGGAUUAUACUAAAGCCAGCUUCCCGACAUAAACUACUAUUCCAUACGAACAC